GUCCAGACUCCUACGGGAGGCAGCAGUGGGGAAUAUUGGGCAAUGGGCGCAAGCCUGACCCAGCAACGCCGCGUGAAGGAAGAAGGCUUUCGGGUUGUAAACUUCUUUUAAGAGGGAAGAGUAGAAGACGGUACCUCUUGAAUAAGCCACGGCUAACUACGUGCCAGCAGCCGCGGUAAUACGUAGGUGGCAAGCGUUGUCCGGAUUUAUUGGGUUUAAAGGGUGCGUAGGCGGACGCUUAAGUCAGCGGUAAAAUUGCGGGGCUCAACCUCGUCGAGCCGUUGAAACUGGGUGCCUUGAGUGGGCGAGAAGUACGCGGAAUGCGUGGUGUAGCGGUGAAAUGCAUAGAUAUCACGCAGAACUCCGAUUGCGAAGGCAGCGUACCGGCGCCCAACUGACGCUGAAGCACGAAGGCGUGGGUAUCGAACAGGAUUAGAUACCCCGGUACG
RNAcentral lists this ribosomal RNA (449 nucleotides) under uncultured bacterium. Its description in RNAcentral is "bacterial SSU rRNA". It matches the Rfam family "Bacterial small subunit ribosomal RNA", at positions 329 to 793 of the family's 1533-position model. The record is from RNAcentral.